Long non-coding RNA from Acipenser ruthenus (sterlet), 373 nucleotides. RefSeq lists it as uncharacterized. NCBI's taxonomy places the organism in Eukaryota, Metazoa, Chordata, Actinopteri, Acipenseriformes, Acipenseridae. The transcript has 3 exons. The record is from RefSeq and is a predicted model, not a curated record.
AGGAAGGAGAUUGGGGGUGUGGUUGUUGCGCACCUUUGUUUGUUAGGAUCUUUUGUUUUAGUACUAUACUUUUUUUGUUUUUCCAUUAUUUUGCAAAAUAUAGUUUUUGUUUUUCUCUUUUCAACUAUCCUAACAGCGCAGGCUGCAUUUUCUUGACCACCAGUUUUUCCCUGCAUUCCUUUUUUGUUUGGGGUUCUGUUUGUUUUUGCCAGUUUUUUUGUUCAAAGGAUUUACAACAACUGCAUUGCAGAUUCACAGAACCAGCACCGGAUCAAGAGCAGCCAGGAUUCAGACCCCACAAGCCCCCCUUCCACUCCAGUCUCUCAAGAAGGAGAAUCCUCGAGCCCCUCUUCCACUCCUGUCUCUCAAGGUA